UAAUACCGGCGGCUCGAGUGGUGGCCACUAUUACUGGGCUUAAAGCGUUCGUAGCUGGUUUGUUAAGUCUCUGGGGAAAUCUUCCGGCUUAACCGGAAGGCGUCUCAGGGAUACUGGCAGACUAGGGACCGGAAGAGGUGAGAGGUACUCCAGGGGUAGGAGUGAAAUCCUGUAAUCCUUGGGGGACCACCUGUGGCGAAGGCGUCUCACCAGAACGGCUCCGACAGUGAGGGACGAAAGCUGGGGGAGCAAACCGGAUUAGAUACCCGGGUAGUCCCAGCCGUAAACGAUGUGCAUUAGGUGUAUCGGUGACCACGAGUCACCGAGGUGCCGAAGAGAAAUCGUGAAAUGCACCGCCUGGGAAGUACGGUCGCAAGGCUGAAACUUAAAUGAAUUGACGG
RNAcentral lists this ribosomal RNA (401 nucleotides) under uncultured bacterium. Its description in RNAcentral is "bacterial SSU rRNA". It matches the Rfam family "Archaeal small subunit ribosomal RNA", at positions 471 to 871 of the family's 1478-position model. The record is from RNAcentral.